GGGAGAGAGAGGGAGAAGGAAAAGACAAACUAAGUCAGACACAUCCCUCAGAAAUGGGCGACAAAUAGCGAAAUGUUUCCAUAGAAUCCGAUAAUGACUUAGCGAGCGCGGCCGGGAGUGGCCGUACCAUCACCCUCAAUAAUUCAUCCUCUGCACUGUUGCCGAUAUUUUGAUUUGCGAAAUUCCAAUUAUGAGACCCACUUCACCUUGGUUUAUCCGCAUUGCCGGACCUCGAGUCUGACUGUUGAUUCGCACACGCAUACUCCUCAUUGGAAAAUGAAAUGCAAUACACGCAGAAAAUAAAAUACCUGCAAUUAACUCUGAAUAAAUAUCGAAAUAGUACAUCCGCUGAAGGGGCGUCAUCGAAGAUUUUUAAUAAAUUUGUAUCUGGUUAUGCCUUGC
This 402-nucleotide long non-coding RNA is filed under the name Drosophila guanche. The record is from RNAcentral. Lineage: Eukaryota; Metazoa; Arthropoda; Insecta; Diptera; Drosophilidae.